Molecule: long non-coding RNA, 309 nt
Filed under: Carica papaya (papaya)
Lineage: Eukaryota; Viridiplantae; Streptophyta; Magnoliopsida; Brassicales; Caricaceae
Description: long non-coding RNA (CPAP_LNC010298)
Source: RNAcentral
UUUUGGCAUCAAUGGUGGCUCUGGUAUGGCGGCAGGAGUGUCCCUCUGGAUGUUUAUCUUCCCUCCAACCGCUCUCUUUCUUCUUCUCCAGUUAGGGUUGUCGACUAGGAUUUUGGGGUCGACUGAAGAGACUUAAACCUCUCUUCCUCUGAUCCUGGCCGUUCAUUCGUGUCGAUGUGGAGAGAGGAGGACCGUCCAAUUUGAUGCAUGUUUAGGCCAACACGUGUGAAAAUCUAGACCAUCCAUCGUGAUCAAAUCAAGCUAUCUGAUCGCAUUUGAAGAAGAAAUGAAAUUAAGUUGUUGGAUCAC